GACGUAGGGGGCAAGCGUUAUCCGGAUUCACUGGGCGUAAAGGGCGCGUAGGCGGCUAUGUAAGUCCGGCGUGAAAUCUCAGGGCUCAACUCUGAAACUGCGUCGGAUACUGCAUUGGCUUGAGGAUGGUAGAGGCUCGUGGAACUAGCGGUGUAGCGGUGAAAUGCGCAGAUAUCGCUAGGAACGCCGGUGGCGAAGGCGACGGGCUGGGCCACUCCUGACGCUGAGGCGCGAAAGCCAGGGGAGCGAACCG
Molecule: ribosomal RNA, 253 nt
Filed under: uncultured bacterium
Lineage: Bacteria
Description: partial 16S ribosomal RNA
Rfam family: Bacterial small subunit ribosomal RNA
Source: RNAcentral